This 253-nucleotide ribosomal RNA is filed under the name uncultured bacterium. RNAcentral describes it as "partial 16S ribosomal RNA". It matches the Rfam family "Bacterial small subunit ribosomal RNA", at positions 524 to 776 of the family's 1533-position model. The record is from RNAcentral.
UACAGAGGCCUCGAGCGUUAGGCGGAAUCACUGGGCUUAAAGCGUGUGUAGGCGGACCCCUAAGUACCUUGUGAAAUCCCACGGCUCAACCGUGGAACUGCUGGGUAUACUGGUUGUCUUGAGCCAGCUAGGGGCGAGCGGAACAGACGGUGGAGCGGUGAAAUGCGUAGAUAUCGUCUGGAACGCCGAAGGUGAAAACAGCUCGCUGGGGCUGCGCUGACGCUGAGACACGAAAGCCAGGGGAGCGAGCGGG